AUUGAACGCUGGCGGCAGGCCUAACACAUGCAAGUCGAGCGGCAGCGGAAAGUAGCUUGCUACUUUGCCGGCGAGCGGCGGACGGGUGAGUAAUGUCUGGGAAACUGCCUGAUGGAGGGGGAUAACUACUGGAAACGGUAGCUAAUACCGCAUAACGUCGCAAGACCAAAGAAGGGGACCUUCGGGCCUCUUGCCAUCAGAUGUGCCCAGAUGGGAUUAGCUAGUAGGUGGGGUAACGGCUCACCUAGGCGACGAUCCCUAGCUGGUCUGAGAGGAUGACCAGCCACACUGGAACUGAGACACGGUCCAGACUCCUACGGGAGGCAGCAGUGGGGAAUAUUGCACAAUGGGCGCAAGCCUGAUGCAGCCAUGCCGCGUGUAUGAAGAAGGCCUUAGGGUUGUAAAGUACUUUCAGCGGGGAGGAAGGUGUUGAGGUUAAUAACCUCAGCAAUUGACGUUACCCGCAGAAGAAGCUCCGGCUAACUCCGUGCCAGCCGCCGCAGUAA
RNAcentral lists this ribosomal RNA (506 nucleotides) under uncultured bacterium. RNAcentral's name for it is "partial 16S ribosomal RNA". It matches the Rfam family "Bacterial small subunit ribosomal RNA", at positions 30 to 523 of the family's 1533-position model. The record is from RNAcentral.